GCUGGAUCUGGAUCUGGAAAAUCCCCUCGGUUGACUUUUGACCUAAUAUUCCAGUUUUUCGUGCUGUGUUUGACCUGCCAUAUCUUUGCAUCCGUAGCUCCGAUUUGGGCAUAUGAUAUAUCAAAAUCUUCGUCUCGACGAGUACAUCAUUUCAUUCCAUUGCAUCAUUUGCAUUUGAGGUCAUCUUGGUGCCCAAAAUGCUGUUGGAAGGAGGCAUCAUGAGUUAAAUUGCAGAUCCAUUAGUUCAUCAUGCACUUUUGUCAUUUUUGCCACGUUUAAUCCGUGGAUGAUAUGCCUGUGCCCCUUUGGGAUGAAUUGUUAAGCAUGUUGUCUUCUUUCCAGAGGUGCCUCCCAUGCAUUUUUAGGAUGUGUGUGUUGUCUUGUGCAAGCUUGCGAAGUAGGGUACCUGAGUUUACUGAUUUCAGGGACUUAGUGAAAAUCACUAAGUCUGGGAUGUUUUAGUGCAUGAUGCUAUAUGUCCAGCUUGUUUCCUAGUGAUCCGUGCCUCUUUUGAGGAUGAUCAGUAAGAGUGGUUUGUUAUGCUUGUUGUGCUUAAUCCAUCCAUGUCUUUACUUGUUAUGUUGGAGCACCCUAGGUUGAAUCAAUCGAGCUCAACUUUUGCAUAGUUGCUGUUUUGGGCAGAUCGUGAACUCUUUUGCGAUUUUGCCGGAGUUAUUGCUAGUGAUCCAUGCAUGCUAUGCCAUUGUUCUUGCCAUGUCUAGCUAGUAUUUUGUGCCUUCUUAAUGGAUAUAUGCUUGCCUUGCCAUUACUUGCACCGUAGUGAGUUUAUCGAGCUCGUUUACAUGCCUCCGUGAGUUAUAUUUCAGCAUGUCCCAGUUUUCACUAAGUCUGAAAACUGAUUGUGUUUCAUCGAUGUUCGUGUGCUCGGUAGAGUAUUUUGUGAACUCUUUUGGCCCCAGGUCAUUUUGGGUGUUUUGUUAAGCUUGUUGAGUAGCUCCAUGCCAUGAUCUUACUUGCCAUGUUCAGGUUUCGCUUCAUGUUAUUUUGCUGCUCCGAAGAGAGCAUCGUGGUCUGAAAUUCCAGACUAGCGUUAAUUUCGCUAAGUCUGAAAUCUGUUUUGCUUAUUCAGUUUUGCCAUGCUUGUUUGAAGCCCUUAAUGGAUGAAUUUGCCUAUGCCUCAGUCCUGGUGAUUUGUUAAGCUUCUUGAGUACAUCACUGCCAUGCAAUUUGUUUUCAUGUUUCGUCGCUGUAGCAUGUUCAUUUCCUUGCAUGUAGGAGCCUACUUGCUGUAAAUCGCAGAUCGGUUCGUUUAGUAAAACGCUUGCCAUUUCCAAACCGUAGCUCCGAUUGCCAUGAUCUUUAUAUCGUUUUCAGGGGAUUUCUUCCCCUCUAUCCAGUGGCACACUUGGUUUUCCAAGUUGAGGCCAGGUUCAUGCAUUUCCUGGCAUUUCCUGUCACGUCUUGCAUUUUGCUUCCCGCAUCGCAUCCCGCAUAGCAUAUCAUCUUCGCAUCUUAUUGGUUGCCCUUGCACGUGGUUGAUUGUAUCCUUGUUGCUUGUUUGUGUUGUUGGGUAGAGCCGGGAGACGAGUUCGCUAACGAGGAGCCCGUUGAGUUUGCUUUUGAGGAUCCAGUCAACUCUGACAACUGUGCAGGCAAGAUGGUCAUACCCUCAAAAUCACUACUAUCUUUGCUAUGCUAGUUUGCUCGCUCUUGUGCUUUGCCAAUGCUACGAUGCCUACCACUUUCUUGUCAGCCUCCCAAUUGCCAUGAUUGAGCCUCUAACCCACCUUUGUCCUAGCAAACCAUUGAUUGGCUAUGUUACCGCUUUGCUCAGCCCCUUCUUAUAGCAUUGCUAGUUGCAGGUGAAGAUUGGAGCCGUUCCUUGUUGGAACAUUUAUUUACUUGUUGGGAUAUCAUUAUAUUGCUAUGCUAUCUUUAUUCAUCUAUAUACUUGGUAAAGGGUGGAAGGCUCGGCCUCUCGCCUAGUGUUUUGUUCCACUCUUGCCGCCCUAGUUUCCGUCAUAUCGGUGUUAUGUUCCCGGAUUGUUGUGUCCCUUACGCGGUUGGGCUAUAAUGGGAACCCCUUGAUAGUUCGCCUUGAUUAAAGCUUUUCCAGCAAUGCCCAACAUUGGUUUUACCAUUUUCCACCUACCCUUUUCUUUCCCUUGGGUUUCCGGAGCCCGAGGGUCAUCUUUAUUUUAGCCCCCACGGGCCAGUGCUCCUCUGAGUGCUGGUCCCAUCGAGCGAUGUCCGGGGCUACCAGGGGCAACUCUGGGCUGGCCUACCCGACGUCUGGCUCAUCUGAGUGUGCCCUGAGAACGAGAUAUGUGCAGCUCCUAUCGGGAUUUGUCGGCACAUUCGGGCGGUGUUGCUGGACUAGUUUUGACCUGUCGAAUCAUCUUGUUGUACCGGGAUACCGGGUCUGAUCGGUGGGUCCUGGGUGGAGGUCUAUUCCUUCGUUGACCGUGAGAGCUUGUUAUGGGCUAAGUUGGGACCCCCUGCAGGGAUUGAUCUUUCGAAAGCCGUGCCCGCGGUUAUGGGCAGAUGGGAAUUUGUUAAUGUCCGGUUGUAGAUAACUUGAACCUUAAAUAAUUAAAAUGAAUUAACCGAGUGUGUUGCCGUGAUGGCCUCUUCUCGGCGGAGUCCGGGAAGUCGACACGGUGUUGGAGUUAUGUUUGCGUAGGCUGCUCUAUAUAGUUUCCGCUCGUGCUUUGCCUUCUCUCCUCGCUCUCCUUUGCGGAUAAGUUAGCCACCAUAUAUGCUAGGCGCUUGCUGCAGCUCCACUUACAUUACCCCUUUCCUACCUAUUAAGGUUAAAUAGUCUUGAUCGCGAGGGUGCGAGAUUGCUGAGUCCUUUGUGGCUCACAGAUUACUAUUACACCAGAUGCAGGGACCGAUGAUACCUCUCCGGAUGGCGCGCUCGAGCUGAAGUGGGAGUACGACGAGGAAUCUCAGCGUUACUAUGUGUCGUUUCCUGAUGAUCAGUAUGGAUGCCUAUUCGGGGUUCGAUUCAGGGUUUAGUCGCUUGUUGGGGGUCUUUUCUAUUUUGGCGCCAUAGUCGGGCCAUGAGUGUUUGUAUGAUGGAUGUUAUUUAUGUACUUUGAUGUGACGUGGCGAGUGUAAGCCAACUAUGCUAUUAUUCCCCUUUAUAUUAGAUAUGUACUUGGGUUGUGUAAUGAUUCCCGACUUGCGACAUUGCUUUCCAUGCGCCUAUGUCUCUAAGUCGUGCCUCGACACGUGGGAGACAUAGCCGCAUCGAGGGCGUUACAUCUAUCCAUCCAUG
This 3244-nucleotide long non-coding RNA is filed under the name Triticum aestivum (bread wheat). RNAcentral's name for it is "long non-coding RNA (TAES_LNC018722)". The record is from RNAcentral. Lineage: Eukaryota; Viridiplantae; Streptophyta; Magnoliopsida; Poales; Poaceae.